RNAcentral lists this ribosomal RNA (423 nucleotides) under uncultured bacterium. Its description in RNAcentral is "bacterial SSU rRNA". It matches the Rfam family "Bacterial small subunit ribosomal RNA", at positions 355 to 775 of the family's 1533-position model. The record is from RNAcentral.
UAAGGAAUAUUGGUCAAUGGAGGCAACUCUGAACCAGCCAUGCCGCGUGCAGGAAGACUGCCCUAUGGGUUGUAAACUGCUUUUAUCCGGGAAUAAACCUUUCUACGUGUAGGAAGCUGAAUGUACCGGAAGAAUAAGGAUCGGCUAACUCCGUGCCAGCAGCCGCGGUAAUACGGAGGAUCCAAGCGUUAUCCGGAUUUAUUGGGUUUAAAGGGUGCGUAGGCGGCCUGUUAAGUCAGGGGUGAAAGACGGUAGCUCAACUAUCGCAGUGCCCUUGAUACUGAUGGGCUUGAAUGGACUAGAGGUAGGCGGAAUGAGACAAGUAGCGGUGAAAUGCAUAGAUAUGUCUCAGAACACCGAUUGCGAAGGCAGCUUACUAUGGUCUUAUUGACGCUGAGGCACGAAAGCGUGGGGAUCAAACAG